Molecule: non-coding RNA, 204 nt
Filed under: Clostridia bacterium
Lineage: Bacteria; Bacillati; Bacillota; Clostridia
Description: 6S RNA
Rfam family: 6S / SsrS RNA
About the family: E. coli 6S RNA was the first non coding RNA to be sequenced, but its function was unknown until recently. It consists of 184 nucleotides that fold into an extended hairpin structure with a large single-stranded internal bulge. The 6S RNA specifically associates with RNA polymerase holoenzyme containing the sigma70 specificity factor.
Source: RNAcentral
AAUUGCCUGCGGUGUACGCAAGGAAAGUAUGUUGUUCCACGUUAAUAAAUAAGGGAACUUGCCGUUUUUAUAGCAACGCGUAUUCCUAAGAAACUGCCUUUUGCGUUUCUACUUUUUAUGGGAAAGUCUAAACUAUAAAACGAAGUACCCACCUCUACAAACAGGGGUAAAUAAUUUUUCCAUAACGGCACAGGCGGGUUACUU